CCAGAGUGGCUGGGGAAGCUCAGCCAGAUGGGUGGGGUAUAAAUAACAAAUUAUUAUUAUUAUUAUUAUUAUUAUUAUUAUUACCCCGCCUAUCUGGUUGGGCUUCCCCAGCCACUCUAGGC
Podarcis lilfordi (Lilford's wall lizard) is the source of this 122-nucleotide non-coding RNA. The record is from the annotation of a GenBank genome assembly. NCBI's taxonomy places the organism in Eukaryota, Metazoa, Chordata, Lepidosauria, Squamata, Lacertidae.